ACACAGUCUGGGAAGGAAGCAACAAAAGGCUGCUGAGACGUGACCUGUCACAGCUGAGAGCCCAGGCUGGACACGCUCUUAUCUCUGUGUCGUCCCCUCUCCUAAAAAGGUCAUCCCGUGAGCCGGUGGCAGGAGGCGGUGAGGACAGAGACCUCUGGUGGCUCUGCCAGGUGCAGAGAGAGUGUGGGACCUGCAGCGGCGGCAGGGAGUCCAGGAUCCCGCCAGCCGUGUGAAGUGCAGAGCCCUAGCACUGACCCUUAAUCUGGACCACGAGAGACAGGAAAGGCUGUCUUAAAGAUCAACCUUUUGUCCAGUGUGUGUACAGCCAGGAUGUACGUGGCCACAUUUAAUCAGGCUAGGAGGGAAAAGCUUACAGUAUACAUCUCUCUGCUCCAUGAAAAUAUCUCACAUGUCUUAAUUGUAAGAAAAGGAUCACUACUAGGCUGACUUGGGAAUUAAUGUUACAGUUAAGCUCGCCUACCCGAGUUGCAAGUUUUAUUAAUAUAUUGAAAGUCAGUCCCCUGCAGCAGUGUAAAGUCCUCUUUCUCUCCAUCUGGGAUGACGGAAGCUGGACCCGGUUGUGCCUUGGCCUGGGAGCGCACAAGGCCUGGCACGGGGACUGCCGACCUUAGGUGUGGUCCUGUCCACUCCACUCAGGCCUGCCUGGAGCCGUGAAAGCACGCACUUGGUCACGUGAUGACCAAGUCAUCCAGCCUGCUCUCCAAAGAUGCUGCCAAAUUCCCUGUGUACCUUGCUGAAAACUAUUUCUUCUUAGCGUCAAAAAACUAACUCCCCACUCCGUACCAUUUUGCCAUUCUGACUGCUGUCAUAUUUUUCGCUUCACUUCAAGUACUUUUUCGCACCCUCUGUUGGAGCAGAGGAGGCAAGAGAAGCACCGUGGAGAACAAAGGACAAAAGAACCAUCCUGAAGGAAUACCUGUCACCAUGGCAGCGAUGGUUAGCAUUUCAUCGACACAGUCAAAUUCACAGGAUGCUAAGAUGGACUUGGAGAGUUGUGGAUCAAGAGGGAACUCUGACAUGAUGAUUCCGAAUUCAGAUAGAUUUCCAUCAUUGUCCAGUGCUGCCAGGUAAUCUAAGUCUUCCAAAGCCUGCAUCAGACUCUCUGGUGCUGGGGAAGACAAAAUUAACAAUUAGAAAGUCUCAUACCACCAAGAUGGGGUAACAGGUACUGGAUUUUCCCUCCCACAGAGAACCACCAAAUGAUAAGCAAAAUAUGUGAAACAACAGUCUGAGAGACAGAGACCACCAGGCAGUGAAUGACAGUGAUUCCUGAGAGGGGUCAUCACGCAGGAAGCUUUACUGCCCUCAGUUUCCAGGCUGUGAUGGUAGGAGGGGAAUUGGGGGAGCUGCCGGGUUCCCCACAUCAUGGAGAUGGUGCUGAGGGUCCCUGGAGACUCGGGUGGCCAGAGCUUGAAGGUCAGACUUCCUGAGAGAGCUCUGCAGGAGGACUCAGAUGGACGAGGGCCCCUCGCUCAGUCAGCAGGGCCCAUAGGAGAAACCACUGCAGGCCAGGAAGGACAGAGGAUCCGAGCCUGAUGCACCCAUGCAGUCUACGACAGGCCCGUUCCCACCAGCCAGGCUGCAAAGCCUCACGGUUCAUGGGGCUCUGGGGAGGAAAAAAUAACUACGCUCUCCCACCACCCCCCACCCCAUAAGCGCAGUUCCAGUGCCACCUACAUAAUCCUGAAAUCAACCCCUGAAAGGAUCAUCCUGCAGCCCAGGGCAAGCUCGAGAAUACUUCUAGGAAUACGAAAUGUCCAAUAUCCAACGCAGUAAGACGGACUAUGUCUGGCAUCCAGUAAAAACCACGAGGUAGGAAAAUAGAAUCCCACAAUAAAGAGAAAAACGCACCAAUCAAAGCUGACCCAGAACUCACACAGGUGACAGCACCAGCAGCCAAGGAAGAGGAAGAGCUAUUUGCCAUUUGUGCAUUUAGAGACCCUGAGGCAAGGGUGAGGCCUUGAGAAGUCACAGCCCCCAGGAAGUGACUCCAAACAGAUGGGCUCUUUAGAAAAAGUAUUUAGUCUAAGGUGCCAAGCAAGCCCUGAAAUCAAAAGUAACACCUGACCCGCCCGAGAAGGUGCAAGAGGCAGCAGCAGAAUAAGCAUCUCUGAUUAAACAGGGCAGGAGGGGCUGUGAGUGCAAGCUUAAUUACUGAGAGCUGUUUAGAAACCAGUUUCCGUAAGUCAGCAAAGCUUCUUCAUCGUAAGUUACAGGAUCUCUGGCAACUGUCCCUGUGAGGAUUGGGCUGGACAGCCAGCCUCUGUCCCCAGAGGGCACUGCUCCUCAUUUUUAUACCCUGGAGUUGAGUUGGCUGCACCCAGGGUGACUGGUGGAAAUAACAUCAUAACUCUGCUUCCGGUCCUAACAGCGGAAGGAGACAAGAAGUUCUUGGGGGUUUUAUUAUGCUAGAAAGGACAUGCAGAUGGUACAGGUGAAGGAGCACUCAUAAAAAUAACUGCAUAAGGUUUGCUAAUAUUACAUUCUACAUCUUGAGCCAGCUCCCCAGUACGGCCCAUAAAAAUUUAGGUAAAAGAAAAGGGUUUAGAGGAGGAUUCUUUACGGCAGUGCUGUUUAAGUGUAAUCCGUGGUAGAUAACGCUAACAAAUGGAAUGUCGCUGUUUUAGUGCCAGGCCUCUUCUUUACAACACUGCAAAAUCACGCUGCUUUAUUCCAAAAGCAAUUUCAAUAUGAACAAAACAUCAUUUUUAUUAAGCUCUACUGCCCACGGCCGCUGUACUCCCUGCAGGAUAGCUCACUGCAGGGUCACACGCCUGCCCCCUGCCAUCACUCAGAGUCACCUAGAGGGCUACUGACACACUCUUUCCUGCGCCCUCUUCCCACGGAAUGCCAAUGCUCCAACAUGGAAUCUGCGUUUUCAUACCACAGCACCUGCAGAAAGGCUGCUCACAGACAGGCCGUUUGUCUGGAAUAAGGGUUGAGCCCAUAGCUGGAUGGAGGGCUCAGCGCUGAUCCAAAGCAGGAGCGCAGGUCCAAUGGGUCCAGGGCUCUGCUGUGUCAUUUCUAGAACCAACAGCCUCACAUGGCAUCUUUCCUAUGGCCUUGAAAAGUCUGCCAAGAUUUUCAAUGUCAAAUAGCAGGGUCUCCCCUUCCCUGUCACGGGGAACUCCGCUCAGGUGCUCAGCAGGCGAGAGAAGAAUGCAGAGAUGGAGACAGGAAGCUGCGUGACUGUGCCGUUCAACCUCUGCCCUCGGGGGUCCCGGAGGCAUGGCUUGGGGUCACAGGACACCCUACGUCCUUGUCCCGACACCCUUGGGCUGAUGCUAGUCUGAGUGGCAUCACUGGCACCACCCGCAGCCAGAAGAAUUGUGAUGUGUGGACACCAUGGCAUCAGAAAUCCUGUCACAAAGCAAGAGCGAAUCGAAGCACCACUGCCUUGGUGGGGGGGACAGCUGUGCUCACCCCGUGCAGGCCCUGUGUUGUGUAGGCGUGUGAAUUACACACACGCACACAUAUGCAGACGGACGUGGAGAAAGACAGCUGGACAGGGCAGGAGGGCCUGGUGGGAUUUAGGACUGGGGCCCGGGCAUCGUGUGCACCCAAGUAGAGCACCCAUGGAGCGGAGAAACGGAAGAAUCAUGACGGUGGCUGGUUGGGGGUGUAGACUCUCAAGAGUCCGGGGACUCUCAGGCAAUGGGAGUAGGAGUUUGACUCUGGAGAGGAAGGGAAGGCCCCUGUCUCACUUAAUUUCACCAGGACAGGCUCUUAAGUUCUGGCAGGUGCCAGCCUCCUCCUGUUACGCAGUGCACGCAGCACCUCUGCAUAAAUGAUCUCAUUUGCACCUCUUAACCCUCUGUCCGCAUGUUACCGAUGGGGAAAUGGUGAGCGACCUGCACAGCCACAGGGCUCACCAGCCUUGCUGCUCAGCUGUGGGCACAGCCUCUGGACCAGCCUUCCUGCGGCGGCUGUUCCAGCCUGUGCGCCAUCGGCACGGCCGCCUCCAGUCUUGUCUCUCUUGGUUCCAAAGCCCAGCUCGGCUCCUGCCCAUCUUGGCUCCUCCCAGGGAGCCCAGCGUGGCCUCCCAAGGCCUGGGGAUCAGUACCUGUUUUUCACACCAUCAAAAGUGCCUCGAGAGGAUCUCCUGUAGCCUGGGGCCAAUAAGCCUUCUGUGUCAGAGCUCAGGUGGGCGCCACGUGGGUGGUGACAGCUGAGCAUGUACUCCACAUGCAUCAUCGUUCUCGGGGGCCACAGAGAGGAAGAAGGUACUGGCCUCUGCGAAGAGACUGCUCUGGUGAUGCUCGUGUUCAAAUGAACACGCCAAGGCGCCCAGUGGGCAACACGCUCGCCGAAUGUCACGCAGCUGGUAACGAGGGCCAGGGUGCUGGGGUGCCUGCAAUCCGGGCCGCCUCUGGCCUGGUGUGCCGAGGAAAGCCCCGUUUCCCUCUCUCCCCCAGCUCGAGGAAGGCUGGUGUUCCCGUUCAGCCUCCACCAGCCGGGCCCAAAUAACAGAUCCUAGUCACUGGACCCACAAAGAGCUGAACGGGUUCUGAGGGCUGAAGGCGCUUCCUUCUGUGUCUUCUAAGCUCUCCCUCAGAUUUUCUUUUCAUUCUGAAAAUGACCUCCUCUCGCUCCCGUGUGCCUCACGACACUGGCUCGCACGGGUUUCGGCACCUUCAUGCCUCUUCUCCGCCCUCCUCCCCGCGUCUAGGAACAGCGGUCGGCUGUGUGUGGCCUCGGGCAGAUGACGUGUGGCCUCUGUGAAUUCAAAAACCGAAGUGGGGCCUCCUGGCAGCACUGGGGUCGAAUCCUGGCUGUCUGGGGGCGACCGGCAGCACGCUCCCUGCCGGGGAUGGAGGGAUCCACGCCAGGCUCCCUCCCAUGGCCCGUUUCCCUCCGAUCUCUUCACACAGACUGUUAGGUUUUAGCCCCUUUGUAAACUCCAGAGCGGAAUCUCGCAUUUCCCGCGAUGAAGGACCCACCACUUCUCGGGUGCAUUCACCAACCAGGCUCCUCGGAUGGAAGAGAAAACUGCCGAGCGUCUUGACUCCCUGACUCACAGGCUGAGAAGUCCCAGCCUCAUCCCCACAGGUCAAGGGUCUGGAUGCGUCUUCAGGGCCCUGACCCAACCCUGCCCUUUCCGCCUUCCCCCGUCUCUGAGACGGCCCUGUCUCAUCCCGAAUGCCAUGUCUGGCAAGUCUGCAUUUGGGUCCACUCUUCACAGAUGGUUCCAAUGCCAGUCGUCUGGCCUCCAGCAAAACGAGCUCUGAGGCCAGAUACCAAGGUGAUGUCUGGCGUGGGCCUGGGCUCGGCAAGCUUGUCCCCGCCCGUGCUGACGGCGCUCCCCUGCCUUCCCAGAGGGAAGAUGCCUAGAACCACCUCAAGUGGUCGGCUGGCCCUGGACUCCCUGACCUGGAUCAACAGGGACUUCGUCCUCCACUCACCAUGGAGCUCUCUGCUCUAGGCCCCACGCACGGAGUGAGCAGCAGCGGGUGACCACGAGAAACACAGCAGUUCCUCUGCACUCUGGCUGUGCUGUGCCAUUUGCUUUUUAAAAUCCUGGACGUUACAAGGCCUGCUCUUCUUCUCUCAUCAUGCUGGUCCACCAAGUAACUACUGGAAUGAAAACAAGAUGCCAGGCAAUCAACGUGAAAGAAAAGAAAGUGAAGCCGCUCAGUCGUGUCCGGCUCUCUGUGACCCCAUGGACUGUAGUCCACCAGUCUCCUCAGUCCAUGGAAUUUU
Molecule: long non-coding RNA, 5721 nt
Organism: Bubalus bubalis (water buffalo)
Lineage: Eukaryota; Metazoa; Chordata; Mammalia; Artiodactyla; Bovidae
Exons: 3
Source: RefSeq, a predicted model, not a curated record